UUCAGGGUCAUUUUUUCGUUACUUCCCGAAAAUGCCCUCCAUCUUCUUUUCCAAAACACAACGCUUUCUUUCCUCUUCGGUUCCAUCACCAUAGCUAACACCAUCACCACCGCCACUAUCAUCUUCCACCAGUUUUCAAAUCUAGUUUUUCCACCACCACCAGUAACACCAUCAUCACCAAUUUUAUGUUACAUUAAUUUCUCUAUCUCGAUUCACCUUGGUAAGUCGUUCACUACACCAUCAGCACCGCCGAACCAGCUCCGCCACCAAGUUCAUUCACAAUCUUAAUAAAUUUAUCAAUUGACGCAGGGAAUUCGAUUUGCUGGUGUAUGUUUUUAAUAAGGUCUUUGAUGAAUUUGCGCAGGGAGUAGCACCAGCAAGUUCAUCUUAGAAUUAGCAAAGAUACAGAUGAUCCUUAACUAGAGUGGCCUCCUACUAAAAAACAUGCUCGGCAAAACUGUGAAAUUGGAAAGGUAUGUGUAAUUAGUCCUCUAUUAAAUUGUAGGAAGCUGUCAUACUUACUCAUGUAUUUUGGGCUGAAAAUCUAUCAGAAGUAUUCUACAAGUUCUUAAUAUCUAAGUAAUUGGCAGUAAAACAAAAAAUCAAAUAGGAAAGUUGUUUGGGCUUGACCAGUUAGGCAAAAUUUGUACUUCUCUAGAAGUCAGAAGACAGUAGUUCGUGCUUGAUCACAUAUGCCAUGUUAGGCGAGGAAGCACGAUCCAGAACCUUCAUCUGACCAGCCUCUAGAGGUCAAGUGUAUUUUUGCCGUUAGGUUAAUUAGGUUGUAGUGGAAGGUUAAUUAGUGCAUCUUUGCUGCAAGGUUUAUUAGUGUAUAUAGUUUCGAACUUGAUUAGAUAUUUGGUUAAUUACCCUGUAUGGAUUUUUAGAUUUGUUGGUUAAUUACCCUGUAUGGUUUUCUGUAUUUGUAUGUUUGUUGGAUGGUGAAUCGACAAAAGUGUUGGUAACAGAUGGUUUCUUCUAAAGUUUGUGUGAUGCCAGAGGCUUUGGAAUUUAUCAAAGAAGAAGUUUCAUGCUGAAGGCUGCCACUCAUCACCUUGGUUGAUGCAGCUGGGAAUCAACUAUACCAUACGAGUCAUCGCUAGAACGAGUACCAUAAAUAUUGUUUAUACAUAUGCCUUAACUUAUAUGAUAAUGAUAACAUUGCUGAACAAAAAAAAAUCACUUUCGGCGGACAGCAGGAUCCGAUCUCUUAUUAAUUUCUGAUUGAAAAAAAAAUGUUUGUUUUACGGA
Long non-coding RNA from Papaver somniferum (opium poppy), 1251 nucleotides. RefSeq lists it as uncharacterized. The transcript is spliced from 2 exons. The record is from RefSeq and is a predicted model, not a curated record. NCBI's taxonomy places the organism in Eukaryota, Viridiplantae, Streptophyta, Magnoliopsida, Ranunculales, Papaveraceae.